RNAcentral lists this ribosomal RNA (429 nucleotides) under Chloroflexota bacterium. Its description in RNAcentral is "Chloroflexi bacterium partial 16S ribosomal RNA". It matches the Rfam family "Bacterial small subunit ribosomal RNA", at positions 355 to 776 of the family's 1533-position model. Lineage: Bacteria; Bacillati; Chloroflexota. The record is from RNAcentral.
UGGGGAAUAUUGUACAAUGGGCGCAAGCCUGAUGCAGCCAUGCCGCGUGUAUGAAGAAGGCCUUCGGGUUGUAAAGUACUUUCAGUCGGGAGGAAGGUGGUAAGGUUAAUAACCUUAUCAAUUGACGUUACCGACAGAAGAAGCACCGGCUAACUCCGUGCCAGCAGCCGCGGUAAUACGGAGGGUGCAAGCGUUAAUCGGAAUUACUGGGCGUAAAGCGCACGCAGGCGGUUGAUUGAGUCAGAUGUGAAAUCCCCGGGCUUAACCCGGGAAUUGCAUCUGAUACUGGUCAGCUAGAGUCUUGUAGAGGGGGGUAGAAUUCCAUGUGUAGCGGUGAAAUGCGUAGAGAUGUGGAGGAAUACCGGUGGCGAAGGCGGCCCCCUGGACAAAGACUGACGCUCAGGUGCGAAAGCGUGGGGAGCAAACAGG